This 326-nucleotide ribosomal RNA is filed under the name Gammarus cf. fossarum 1SLI-BUD. RNAcentral's name for it is "LSU rRNA". It matches the Rfam family "Bacterial large subunit ribosomal RNA", at positions 2046 to 2602 of the family's 2925-position model. Lineage: Eukaryota; Metazoa; Arthropoda; Malacostraca; Amphipoda; Gammaridae. The record is from RNAcentral.
GUAUAAUCUAUUUAGUAAGUUAAAGUCGAGGUAAGAAUUCUUUGAUUUUCUAGGGGACGAUAAGACCCUAGAAGCUUUAAAAAAGAAAAAUUUUUAGUAGCUAUAUGGGUUUUUUGCUGGGGCGGUAUUAGUGUUUUAACUACUAGUAAUAAUGGUUGAUCCUUAAUAUAAAGAUAAAUCGGUGAAGUUACUCUAGGGAUAACAGUGCGGUAUUCUUGGAAAGGUCUUAUUAAUAAGAAUGUUCGCAACCUCGAUGUUGAAUUAAGAUGUCUACGUGGGGUAGUUAAUACAGUAGAGGGUUUGUUCAACCUUUAUAAUCUUACAUG